RNAcentral lists this ribosomal RNA (127 nucleotides) under Neogale vison (American mink). Lineage: Eukaryota; Metazoa; Chordata; Mammalia; Carnivora; Mustelidae. The record is from RNAcentral.
GUCUAUGGCCAUACCACCCUGAACGCGCCCGAUCUCGUCUGAUCUCUUAAGCUAAGCAGGGUCGGGCCUGGUUAGUACUUGGAUGGGAGAAAUAAGUAUGGGAAGGGAUGCCUGGGUGGCACAGUCA